Molecule: ribosomal RNA, 408 nt
Filed under: uncultured soil bacterium
Lineage: Bacteria
Description: bacterial SSU rRNA
Rfam family: Bacterial small subunit ribosomal RNA
Source: RNAcentral
AGCCGCCGCGGUAAUUCGUAGGGGGCAAGCGUUGUCCGGAUUUAUUAGGCGUAAAGCGCGUGUAGGCGGCCAGGUAGGUCCGCUGUGAAAACCCGAGGCUCAACCUCGGGACGUCGGCGGAAACCAUCUGGCUAGAGUCCGGAAGAGGAGAGUGGAAUUCCCGGUGUAGCGGUGAAAUGCGCAGAUAUCGGGAAGAACACCCGUGGCGAAGGCGGCUCUCUGGGACGGUACUGACGCUGAGACGCGAAAGCGUGGGGAGCGAACAGGAUUAGAUACCCUGGUAGUCCACGCCGUAAACGAUGGGUGCUAGGUGUAGGCGGUGUCGACUCCGUCUGUGCCGAAGUUAACGCAUUAAGCACCCCGCCUGGGGAGUACGGCCGCAAGGCUAAAACUCAAAUGAAUUGACGG